GGGUCGGCUGUGUGGCUUCGCCCUUGCAUCAAAGCAAGGGUGAGGAAGCUCCUCCCAUUGAGGAGGCUUCGAAAAGAAGCCAGCUGAAAAGCUGAGGCUGGCAUCAGAAACGAUACCCUUUAGCAUCGCUAACGAUGAUAGCUUUGCUUGAGUUGAUGCUAAAGGGAUGAAACGGGCCAGCCACUCCGAUGAGAUGCAAGGCUAGAGCCGCUUAGACGAAUGCCACAUUAAACAAAAGGAGGGCUAUAGCCGACCC
RNAcentral lists this RNase P RNA (256 nucleotides) under Candidatus Aenigmarchaeota archaeon ex4484_224. Its description in RNAcentral is "RNase P RNA component". It matches the Rfam family "Archaeal RNase P". From Rfam's summary of the family: Ribonuclease P (RNase P) is a ubiquitous endoribonuclease, found in archaea, bacteria and eukarya as well as chloroplasts and mitochondria. Its best characterised activity is the generation of mature 5'-ends of tRNAs by cleaving the 5'-leader elements of precursor-tRNAs. Cellular RNase Ps are ribonucleoproteins. Lineage: Archaea; Nanobdellati; Candidatus Aenigmatarchaeota. The record is from RNAcentral.